Molecule: long non-coding RNA, 3065 nt
Organism: Oncorhynchus keta (chum salmon)
Lineage: Eukaryota; Metazoa; Chordata; Actinopteri; Salmoniformes; Salmonidae
Exons: 4
Source: RefSeq, a predicted model, not a curated record
CUAUGCCUGUUUGCGGGGAAUGAACCACCUGGAUGCCUUCCUCAGGAAGACGGUAUGUAACUGUCAGAUAGUGAACCUGGGGGCAGGGCUGGACACCACUUUCUGGAGGUUAAAGGUACUGGUCUAAUAAUCCCAUUAAACAAAUGCAUUUAUUUUACAGUACAAUCUAUGCUUGUCCUUGGUUUGUACUUUCAUUGUCAUUUGUUUGUCAUAUAAUAUAUGCCAUUUAGCUGACGCUUUUAUCCAAAGCGACUUACAGUCAUGUGUGCAUACAUUCUACGUAUGGGUGGUCCCGGGAAUCGAACCCACUACCCUGGCGUUACAAGCGCCAUGCUCUACCAACUGAGCCACAGAAGGACCACGUUUUUAUGUUUUUAGGAAGAAAACCUCGAAACCAAGUCGACUUUCCGAUGAUUGCUUGCAGGAAAAUACACAACAAAAAAUGGCCACAACCUAGACUCAGACAGGCACUGCAUCAUCGGUGCUGACCUCAGGGACAUCCCAGGCCUAGAUGACAAACUGAAGAAGUUCCACCUCAACCCAGAAGAAUAGAGCAUCUGGAGUUUCUGGAUGAAAAGGAACUUCUGCAGCAGCUCCUCCAACACUCAGUAUCUGCUGGGCCACCAAGGACAAGUUCAAGCAGCCUCUUUCUCUGUGCCAUGACCAACACUAUCAAGAGAGGAGAGAAAAAACCCAUCAACACCUUCACAUCAGACUCAAGUCUUGUCUGCUCUGUGGGAAAUGCAUGGCAUCAGCAGAAUUCUACUGAAUGUGUUUCCGUUGCAUCCCAUAAAAGCAACCACUGUCUCCCAACAUGCUUUUGUGAAGAGAAUGGAUGUUUCCGCUGGAAGUGUGAUACAGUGCAUUCGGAAAGUAUUCAGACCCCUUGACAUUUUCCACAUUUUUUUAUGUUACAGCCUUAUUCUAAAAAUGUAUGUAAUAAAACAUUUUCCUCAUCAAUCUACGCACAAUACCCCAUACUGACAAAGCAAAAACAUGUUUUUAGAAAUGUUUUCAAAUGUAUAAAAAACAGAAAUACCUUAUUGACAUAACUAUUCAGACCCUUCGUUAUGGAAUUGAAAUUGAGCUCAGGUGCAUCCCAUUGAUCAUCCUUGAGAUGUUUUACAACUUGGGAGUCCAUCUGUGGUAUAUUCAAUUGAUUGGACAUGAUUUGGAAAGGCACACACCUGUCUAUAUAAGGUCCCACAGUUGACACUGCAUGUCAGAGCAAAAACCAAGUCAUGAGGUCGAAGGAAUCCAACAAGACAACGCGCUAGUGGCUUCGGGACAAGUCUUUGAAUAUCCUUGAGUGGCCCGGACUUGAACCCGAUCGAACAUCUCUGGAGAGACCUGAAAGUAGCUGUGUCUAACCUAACAGUGUUUGAGAGGAUCUGCAGAAAAGAAUUGGAGAAACUCCCCAAAUACAGGUGUGCCAAGCUUGUAGUGUCAUACCCAAGAAGACUCUUGGCUGUAAUCGCUGCCAAAGGUACUUCAACAAAGUACUGAGUAAAUGGUCUGGAUACUUAUGUAAAUGUGAUAUUUCAGUUUUGAGGGGGGUGAAUAAAUUAGCAUAUUUAAAAUAAAAACAGUUUUUGCUUUGACAUUAUGCAGUAUUGUGUGUAGAUUGAUGAGGGGGGGGGGGUUAUUUGAUUUUAGAAUACGGGUGUAAUGUAACAAAAUGUGGAAAAUGUCCAAGGGGUGUGAGUACUUUCUGAAUACACUGUAUGAACGACAAGACACUGGUAGCUUAAGGACAUAAGCCCUAGCCUUCAUUUAAUUUUAUCCAUCUGUCUGCUCUGCACUGUCUGUUUCUAAUGUUCAUUCAGACAACAUAAAGCAGAGAGAAGUAAAAGGAAGAUUUAUUUUUAUUUGUCAAGUAUUUAAUGUGCCAUUGUGUUGUGAACUGAAAUAUUUGGUUUAUUUAGAAAUGUAUUGCUAAGACCGAUAUUUUCUUAUGUAUAGAAAUUAGGAGUUAAUACUUUGGAUGCACUUUAACAGAUCUGUUUGAUUCAAUUGCUGGAUUUACAGUAGCAAUAGAUACAUUUGCAUGUAACUAGGAUUCUUGUCUGAAAGAAAUCAACUGGGCAUUUUCACUCAGCAGAGCAAUUUCAAGUCCUCGCAAGUGAUACCACAGUACCAAUGAAAUGACAAUGCACGUCUAUGGCAGUUGAAUAAAGGUGUUUAAUAUUUGUGUAUGAAAACCUGACCACCAUCAUGUGGUCUACAAAUUGUACAUUUGAUACCAUGAAAGUCCAAUGUCAUUUCCACACGGAUGACACAUUAUAGUUACAGGGCACAGAAAGGAAAUGUUUGAGUUUCGCCUGUCGCCCUCUGUGAACUGUGUCCUGAUGGUCAGACCUGUGUUUUUACAGAGAAACAUUAACCCAAUAUGACCUUGUGUACACUGAGAUAGAGAUAGCGGCACUAGAGCACUGAAGACAUGGUAAGUCUAGAGAGAUGUUUAUAACACUGAAUUAUAGUGCCUAGUAAAAAUACAUACCACUUGCACAGUCUUUGCAUUAUUUUGCUUAUUUUAGCUGUUCUUGCCAUAAUAUGGACUUGGUCUUUUACCAAUAAAUGUGGUCCUUCUGUAGCUCAGUUGGUAGAGCAUGGCGCUUGUAACGCCAGGGUAGUGGGUUCGAUUCCCGGGAUCACCCAUACGUAGAAUGUAUGCACACAUGACUGUAAGUCGCUUUGGAUAAAAGCGUCUGCUAAAUGGCAUAUAUUAUUAUUAUUAUUAAGGCUAUCUUCUGUAUACCACCCCUACCUUGUCACAACUGAUUGGCUCAAACUCAUUAAGAAGGAAAUAAAUUCCACAAAUGAACUUUUACCAAGGCACACCUGAUAAUAGAAUUCCAGGUGACUUCAUGAAGCUGAUUGAGAGAGUGCCAAGAGUGCAAAGCUGUCAUCAAGGCUACUUUGAAUUAUAUAAAAUAGAUUUUGAUUUCUUUAACACUUUUUUGGUUUCUACAUGAUUCCAUGUGUUAUGUCAUAGUUGUGAUGUCUUCACUAUUAUUCUACAAUGUAGAAAAUAGUAAAAAUAAAGAAAAACCAUUGAAUUGCUA